This 443-nucleotide ribosomal RNA is filed under the name uncultured bacterium. RNAcentral's name for it is "partial 16S ribosomal RNA". It matches the Rfam family "Bacterial small subunit ribosomal RNA", at positions 338 to 795 of the family's 1533-position model. The record is from RNAcentral.
CCUACGGGGGGCAGCAGUGGGGGAUAUUGGACAAUGGGGGGAACCCUGAUCCAGCGACGCCGCGUGAGUGAAGAAGUAUUUCGGUAUGUAAAGCUCUGUCAGCCGGGAAGAAAGAAAUGACGGUACCUGCCCAAGAAGCCUCGGCUAACUACGUGCAAGCAGCCGCGGGAAUACGUAGGGGGCAAGCGUAAUCCGGAAUUACUGGGUGUAAAGGGAGCGUAGACGGUUAAGUAAGUCUGGAGUGAAAGGGCGGGGCCCAACCCCGGGACUGCUCUGGAAACUAGUGAACUUGAGUGCAGGAGAGGUAAGCGGAAUUCCUGGUGUAGCGGUGAAAUGCGUAGAUAUUAGGAGGAACACCAGUGGCGAAGGCGGCUUACUGGACUGUAACUGACGUUGAGGCUCGAAAGCGUGGGGAGCAAACAGGAUUAGAUACCCGAGUAGUC